RNAcentral lists this unclassified non-coding RNA (1401 nucleotides) under Leishmania donovani. RNAcentral describes it as "gene:unknown". Lineage: Eukaryota; Euglenozoa; Kinetoplastea; Trypanosomatida; Trypanosomatidae. The record is from RNAcentral.
UGCACGGACACUUACACUUACCGGCACACGCUAACGACGAGAGCAAAAGCACAGAGAGUGAGAAGAUUCACUGACAAAAACUCCAUCACCCCCAUCUCCGCCUUUACUCGCCGCAACCCCCAGUGCAUGAGCCUACUGCUUCAAAUCACCACGUACGGCGCCUUCUACGCCGGCGUUCUCGCAGUUCCGCCGUUUUCCUUCAGCUCGAGUAGCCGUAGCCGUAGCUUUUCUGUCAUCUCGUCGGCCCCGUCGUCUGCGUCGCCUUACGCGGGCGGUAAGAAGAGGGAAGCCCCGUCGACGAACUCUGCCGAAUCCCGUCAGAUAAUCCGGGCUUCGUACGCAAGUGAUUUGCUCCAACCGCUUGUGUCUAUGUGCGCCAAGUGCAGAAGAGAGUCCAGUGCAAGACGGCAACAUGCCACCAUUCAGUUUGCUAUAAGGGAUGCGGCUUGCAUCAGGCGUGUCGGGGUCUGUAAGCGGUAACACGCAUUCUGCAAACCACUACAGCGCGUCAGUCGCUAUUAGCGUCGCUUCAUUGUCGAUAUGGAGGAAAAGGUGAGUGUUGCGGCAGGGAGGCUCAUUGACCCAUGUACGUUUCGUGUGCGUGCCUGUGCACGUCGGGUUGUAUGCCUCCAAACGCAUAUUCGUUGCAUGUAUGGCGACUUCUACGUGCGUCUUCCUUUCUUCUCUCCUUCUGCUGUUACUGCUGAGUUGCACUCCUCUGCUUGCGUAACGUGUGUGUCGCUCGCUCUCUUUCUCUCUGUGUCUUUGGUGCCCCAUCUGGCCCUCCGUCCCCAUCCCUCGCUCCUAUGCCUUGUGUGUGCGUGUGCUCGUGUAUGGGGCUGAUGUUGUUACUUUUCGGCGCCUGCCUGUCGGCUGUUCUUCGCUUCUAACCCCCAUUCCGCCGCGAACUUUUGCUAGUGAGUCGCGAGCCCUUCCUCCCCCCGACAUGCAUACACGUACAGACACAGACACACAGGUACUCCAUGGACAGCAAAGAGCGAAUACGUGAAAGGAGCGAGUGCAACUUCGGUGAAUCGGCGUGCACCUUCAUGUGGCACGCUGUUUCUUCCCCUCCGCGAGCCUUGCACCUCACUUCAGAGAGACUUACAGGGUGGCCAAAAGAGGUCUCUACUCUCUGGAGGCGGACGUAUGCGCGCCGGUGGAAGAGAGAGAAAGCGGCACAGAGUCUGCGCCGUCUCACGUCUCCGUCGCUGCCGUUCUCUUUACCUUCCCCCCCCCCCCCCCCAACAUUCUUCUGCUCGCCUGGCCAUUGCCACUGGACUCCUGCACCUGUGCUUCCUCUGUUCCAACACCACGCGCCCACGCACCCACUCAUUAACUCACACGCACGUGUGCUUGCUUCACUUGAUGGUGUGUGCUGCGUUUGCUUCCUGUAUCAAG